RNAcentral lists this non-coding RNA (21 nucleotides) under Arabidopsis thaliana (thale cress). The record is from RNAcentral. Lineage: Eukaryota; Viridiplantae; Streptophyta; Magnoliopsida; Brassicales; Brassicaceae.
UAGAAUAGUACCCUGCCACGG